ACAAUCACAGAGCCACAUCCCCUACCCCUUUUCAUUUUUAGAUGAGGUCUUGCUAAAUUGCUUAGGCCCUUGCUAAAUUGCUGAAGCUGACCUUGAACUUGCAAUCCUCUUUUCUCAGCCUUCCAAUUUUCUGGGAUUACAGGUAUGCAUCACCAUGCCUGGCUCUGGAUAAUUGAACCUUCAUAUAGCUAUUUAAAAAUGAAUAUUCAAGGAAAAGAAGAGCUCAAACUAUCCCUAUUUGCUGACAUGAUUCUGUAUUUAGAAGAUUCAAAAAAACUCCACAGAAAGAUUCUAGAACUCAUAAAUGAAUCCAGCAAAAUUGCAGGAUAUAAAACUAACAUCCACAAAUCAAUGGUAUUCCUAUACACCAAUGACAAAUCAGCAGAAAGAAAAAUCAGAAAAACGAUCCCAUUUAGAAUAACCUCAAAACAAAACAAAACAUUGGGAAUCAAAUCUAAUAAAAGAGGUGGAAACUACAGAAUUCUAAAGAAAGAAAUUGAAGAAGAGCUUAGAAAAUGGAAAGAUCUCCCAUGUGCUUGGAUAGGUAGAAUUAAUAUUGUCAAAAUGGCCAUACUACCAAAAGCACUAUACAGAUUUAAUGAAAAUCCUAUUAAAAUCCCAAUGACUUUCUUGACAGAAAUAGAAAAAAGUCAUUUGGAAAAAUAAGAGACCCAGAAUAGUCAAAACAAUUUUUAUCAAGAAAAGGGAUGCAGGAGGCAUCACAAUACCAGAUCUUAAAUUAUACUCAAAGCUACAGUAACUAAAAUGGCAUAGUGUUGAUACCAAAAUAGACAUGAAGACCAAUGGAACAGAAUAGAAGAUACAGAGAAAAACGCACAUGAAUAUAGUUAUCUCAUACUAGAAAAAUGCACCAUAAACAUACAUUGGAGGAAGGAUAGCCUCUUCAAAAAGUGGUUCUAGGGGGCUGGAGUUGUGGCUCAGUGGUAGAACACUUGCCUUGAAUGUGUGAGGCACUGGGUUUGAUUCUCAGCACCACAUAUAAUUAAAAAAUAAAGGGUUU
Molecule: long non-coding RNA, 1021 nt
Filed under: Marmota monax (woodchuck)
Lineage: Eukaryota; Metazoa; Chordata; Mammalia; Rodentia; Sciuridae
Source: RNAcentral